Molecule: non-coding RNA, 37 nt
Filed under: unclassified sequences
Description: DUF805b RNA
Rfam family: DUF805b RNA
About the family: Bacteroidetes, Chlorobi (1 example), Proteobacteria.
Source: RNAcentral
AAAGGGGAAACCGAAAACCUUUAAGUUAGAGUAGGUG